AUUGAACGCUGGCGGCAUGCCUUACACAUGCAAGUCGAACGCGAAAGCGGGGCAAACCCGCAAGUAGAGUGGCGAACGGGUGAGUAAUACAUCGGAACAUAUCCAGUAGCGGGGAUAACCUGUCGAAAGAUAGGCUAAUACCGCAUACGAUCUACGGAUGAAAGCAGGGGACCGCAAGGCCUUGCACUAUUGGAGUGGCCGAUGUCAGAUUAGCUAGUUGGUGGGGUAAAAGCCUACCAAGGCGACGAUCUGUAGCUGGUCUGAGAGGACGAUCAGCCACACUGGAACUGAGACACGGUCCAGACUCCUACGGGAGGCAGCAGUGGGGAAUUUUGGACAAUGGGCGCAAGCCUGAUCCAGCCAUGCCGCGUGAGUGAAGAAGGCCUUCGGGUUGUAAGCUCUUUCGGUGAAGACGAAACGGUUAGCGCUAAUAACGCUGACUAAUGACGGUACUCACAGAAGAAGCACCGGCUAACUACGUG
This 482-nucleotide ribosomal RNA is filed under the name uncultured bacterium. RNAcentral describes it as "bacterial SSU rRNA". It matches the Rfam family "Bacterial small subunit ribosomal RNA", at positions 30 to 507 of the family's 1533-position model. The record is from RNAcentral.